AGUGAACGCUGGCGGCGCGCCUAAUACAUGCAAGUCGAGCGAGAAGACGUAGCAAUACGUUUGUAAAGCGGCGAACGGGUGAGGAAUACAUGGGUAACCUACCCUAGAGUGGGGAAUAACUAGCCGAAAGGUUAGCUAAUACCGCGUACGCUCCUUGGACUUCGGUUCAGGGAGGAAAGCGAUGCCGAGGGUAUCGCGCUCUUGGAUGGGCUCAUGUCCUAUCAGCUUGUUGGGAGGUAACGGCUCACCAAGGCUUCGACGGGUAGCUGGUCUGAGAGGACGAUCAGCCACACUGGCACUGCGACACGGGCCAGACACCUACGGGUGGCAGCAGUCGAGGAUUUUUCUCAAUGGGGGAAACCCUGAAGGAGCGACGCCGCGUGAGGGAUGAAGGUCUUCGGAUUGUAAACCUCUGUCAUCUGGGAACAAGGUGAUCUACCCAACACGUGGAUUAUUGAUAGUACC
RNAcentral lists this ribosomal RNA (465 nucleotides) under uncultured bacterium. Its description in RNAcentral is "bacterial SSU rRNA". It matches the Rfam family "Bacterial small subunit ribosomal RNA", at positions 29 to 479 of the family's 1533-position model. The record is from RNAcentral.